RNAcentral lists this ribosomal RNA (492 nucleotides) under uncultured bacterium. RNAcentral describes it as "partial 16S ribosomal RNA". It matches the Rfam family "Bacterial small subunit ribosomal RNA", at positions 30 to 507 of the family's 1533-position model. The record is from RNAcentral.
AGUGAACGCUGGCGGUAGGCCUAACACAUGCAAGUCGAACGGCAGCACAGUAAGAGCUUGCUCUUACGGGUGGCGAGUCGCGGACGGGUGAGGAAUACAUCGGAAUCUACUUUUUCGUGGGGGUUAACGUAGGGAAACUUACGCUCAUACCGCAUCCGACCUACGGGUGAAAGCAGUGGAUCUUCGGACCUUGCGCGAUUGAAUGAGCGGAUGUCGGAUUAGUUAGUUGGCGGGGUGAAGGCCAACCAAGUCGACGAUCCGUAGCUGGUCGGAGUGAAUGAUCGGCGACACUGGAGCUGAGACACGGUCCAGAGGCCUACGGGAGGGAGCAGACGGGAAUAGUGGGCAGUGGGCGCAAGCAUGAUCCAGCGAUAGCGCGUGGGUGGAGAAGGCGUUCGGGGUGGAAAGCCCUUUUUUGGGGAGAGAAAAGCAGCAGGUUAAUACCCCGCUGUUCUGACGGUACCCGAAGAAGAAGCACCGGCUAACUUCGUG